RNAcentral lists this small RNA (169 nucleotides) under Serinus canaria (Common canary). RNAcentral's name for it is "TUC338 (ENSSCAG00000014045.1)". The record is from RNAcentral. Lineage: Eukaryota; Metazoa; Chordata; Aves; Passeriformes; Fringillidae.
UUUCCAGCAUCAGACACUCAACAUUUUGUGUCUCUGUGUUGGAAUAAGAGCCCAGGAAGUGCAAACUUCCCCAAACUGUCCUGCCAAUGGGCCUUUCUGACCUAGAGGGGGGAUCACCUUUAUAGUGACAGGAUAAUUUGAUCUCAGUGCCAUCUAAUCCUUAUUUUCU